Long non-coding RNA from Camponotus floridanus (Florida carpenter ant), 1066 nucleotides. RefSeq lists it as uncharacterized. The record is from RefSeq and is a predicted model, not a curated record. The transcript is spliced from 3 exons. NCBI's taxonomy places the organism in Eukaryota, Metazoa, Arthropoda, Insecta, Hymenoptera, Formicidae.
GUGGUUUAUUAUGUGGAUAUAUCGUCAAAAGAGAGGCUUCGGAUUUACGAUUGGACUCGUACUGUAAUUGGCAAUGUUGUUCGAGAGCAGAGUACAAGGUUUUCAUCCAACUCUCUGCAAGUGAAGCUCGCAAGGAUUCGUUACGUCAAUAAUCGGUUAUGAUCCUCGGAAUUGCACUAUCUCACUUCAUCCGUCCCUCUUCUUCGAUUUCUAUUCUGCUCUACUCUGACCGCAAGCGCGACACAGAGCGACAUAUUUCUUCGCCGAUUAACUGAUCGACGGUGCAAUUAAUUGGCCAGUCAGCAAAUAAUUUCAUUGCACCCGCCUCUGCGGUCCUGUGGAAACCUAUCGAGAGGACCAUCGGGGACUGGCGGGGAUGCAGUACCCCAGUGGAACCAGACCUAUGCAUUAUGCGCUGCCUUGGUUGCGGUAUCUGCCGUCGAUCGUCGAUAGAUCGACGGCGGCUGUAACGAGCUCGAGGCGAUAAGGCACAUCAGGGAAUUCCAGCGUGCCAACGAUUCUUGUAUAUCGUCGUAAAGCCAUCUAAUUUUUACUCCGAUAUACUAUUUCGCAAAAAAAUAUGACAUUUUAUCAUCGAAUAUGGUAAAUCUUUAAAAAACCGUAAAAUAUACAUGUAUGUUAAUACAAUCAUAUGUUUCAACCCUCGUUGGAAAAAGAGUUUAAAAAAAGAAUUAAAUUAAUACAAUCGUUAUUUUAAAAUUCAGCGCUAUAAUAUUUAUCAUUCGCGUACCAUUAUAAAUUUGACGUUUAUGCGUUGCUAUAAUUUAUCAAAACGCGUGUUUCGCGAAAUUUGUUCGAUCAAUUCGACUCGUGCAAACAACCGACAAAUUGAAUUACAUUUUUGAAUAUUUGAAUCUGCGGAUAUUUAUCUUUAGCUUAUAUUAAUUCAGUUUGUUAUAAAGUCAAAUAGUAAAAUUGCUCUGAGAUAUUAUUUGUACGCAACGGAAAUAGCACUGUUACGGAGUUGAAUUUAGAUGUGACAUUUUCGAAUACGACCGGAUGAAUUGUAGUGAUUUUUCACGUUGUUUUCCCGUCGCAAUAAAGU